GCAUUGGCGGUUCAGUGGUAGAAUUCUUGCUUUCCACCCGGGAGACCUGGAUUCCAUUUCCGGCAAAUGCA
Non-coding RNA from Pongo abelii (Sumatran orangutan), 71 nucleotides. The record is from Rfam. NCBI's taxonomy places the organism in Eukaryota, Metazoa, Chordata, Mammalia, Primates, Hominidae.